UACGUAGGGGGCAAGCGUUGUCCGGAAUCAUUGGGCGUAAAGAGCGUGUAGGCGGCCUGAUAAGUCGGUUGUGAAAGUCAAGGGCUCAACCCUUGAAUGCCGACCGAUACUGUCAGGCUAGAGUCCGGAAGAGGCGAGUGGAAUUCCUGGUGUAGCGGUGAAAUGCGCAGAUAUCAGGAGGAACACCGGUGGCGAAGGCGGGUCUCUGGGCCGAUACUGACGCUGAGGAGCGAAAGCGUGGGGAGCGAACAGG
This 253-nucleotide ribosomal RNA is filed under the name uncultured bacterium. Its description in RNAcentral is "partial 16S ribosomal RNA". It matches the Rfam family "Bacterial small subunit ribosomal RNA", at positions 524 to 776 of the family's 1533-position model. The record is from RNAcentral.